UCUCUCUUGUGAGCAUGAUUCCAUGAAUUUGGUUGCUGUAAUAUUGAUGAGCAUGGAGUGUUGGUUCGAAUGCCCUAUUUAAUUUCACUUUCUGGGCACUAAAAAUUUUCACGAGUGGUUGAGAGGAUGAAGUACUGUAGCGCGAACCCUAAAGAAGUCUGCCCAGAAUUUUCUUUUCAAACGCAUUGGUUGCUGUUGUAUUUCGCUUGCAUGGCUGUACUGUUCUUUUACCAUGAAGCCAAUGCCUCCCUGCCACGACUCCUAAUCGCUGCGCGCC
This 277-nucleotide long non-coding RNA is filed under the name Lathyrus oleraceus (garden pea). Its description in RNAcentral is "Pisum sativum (pea) long non-coding RNA (PSAT_LNC015156)". Lineage: Eukaryota; Viridiplantae; Streptophyta; Magnoliopsida; Fabales; Fabaceae. The record is from RNAcentral.